CAAAGUGUUGCCUUCACUACACUUUAACACUGGUUUGGAAUUUCAUGGAAACAGGCCUCUUUAAUGUGCUGGCAUGCCAACAGCAAACUUUUAUUCCUUGGUAAGUGACACGGUGGCAAGCAUUGUUGCAUCACAGCUGAGUUCCAGGGUUCAAAUCCAGACCUGGGGUGUUAUUUGUGUGGGUGGGUUCUGUGUGUUCUCUCCGUGUUCACGUGGGCUUACUCCAGGUACUCUGGUUUCCUCCCACACUCCAAAGACUCACUGAUAAAUUGAAAACAACAAAACAAGGUGUGAGCUGGACAGUACCCGGAUGGGAGACCUCCCAGGAAAAACUAAGGUGCACAAGAAAGUCAUACUGGGAAAUCAUCAAGGGGAGCCUGAAAUGAGAUUUCUACUCUUACAACAAACUGAGCAAUCAAGGUAUUUCUUGAUGUUGAACACACACUGUGUACAUAUGGUGUGCCCCAAUAUGCCUCCAAAGCAAGAGAGAACCCCAACGGACAGGGUUGCAGAACGUUUUGGCUCAUUUACAGAAUAUGCUCUGGAGAAAUUUGUGCUGAGCCAUAGAUGCCUGCCGCCCAAUACA
Molecule: long non-coding RNA, 586 nt
Organism: Lepisosteus oculatus (spotted gar)
Lineage: Eukaryota; Metazoa; Chordata; Actinopteri; Semionotiformes; Lepisosteidae
Source: RefSeq, a predicted model, not a curated record